RNAcentral lists this unclassified non-coding RNA (584 nucleotides) under Hevea brasiliensis (rubber tree). The record is from RNAcentral. Lineage: Eukaryota; Viridiplantae; Streptophyta; Magnoliopsida; Malpighiales; Euphorbiaceae.
GGGAGAGUACCUCUGAGUUCCUAAAAUUUUGUCUCCCUUUUACAAAUGGCGUAACAUUUUGCUAGAUUGCACAGUUUUAUUUUUUUGGGGAUAACCUUGGCGUCCGGGCCAGCUCGUGCUACCUCGACUAAUUCUAUGGGGUACUUGCUACAUCCACCAGCACAGGCGAUAAAUGCAGUCUCUGACACUCAAAAGCAAGAGGGAACAAGUUUUGGUCCUGAAGCCCUUCCCCUGAAGUGGGCGCAUCCAAUUUCAGCACCUGAGAACGGCUGUGUUCUAGUUGCCACUGAAAAGCUCGACGGAGUUCAUACUUUUGAAAGAAAAGUAAUUUUUCUCCUCAGAUCUGGAAAUAGGCACCCACAAGAGGGUCCAUUUGGUGUAGUCAUAAACCGGCCACUAGGCAAAAAGAUCAUUGACAUGAAACCCACAAAUGUUGACCUGGCAACAACCUUUGCUGAUUGUUCCUUGCACUUCGGUGGGCCCCUUGAGGCAACUAUGUUUUUACUAAAAACAGGGGCUGGUUCGGGGCUACCUAGGUUUGAAGAGGUGAUUCCUGGAGUGUGUUUUGGAGCUCGGAACAGUUU